Molecule: long non-coding RNA, 471 nt
Organism: Oncorhynchus tshawytscha (Chinook salmon)
Lineage: Eukaryota; Metazoa; Chordata; Actinopteri; Salmoniformes; Salmonidae
Source: Ensembl
GGCGGCAGGUAGCCUAGUGGUUAGAGUGUAGGGGCGGCAGGUAGUCUAGUGGUUAGAGUGUAGGGGCGGCAGGUAGUCUAGUGGUUAGAGUGUAGGGGCGGCAGGUAGUCUAGUGGUUAGAGCGUAGGGGCGGCAGGUAGCCUAGUGGUUAGAGCGUAGGGGCGGCAGGUAGCCUAGUGGUUAGAGCGUUGGGCCUGUAACCGGUAGAUUGAAUCCCCGAGCUGACAAGGUAAACAUCUGUCGUUCUGCCCCUGAACAAGGCAGUUAACACACUGUUCCCUGGUAGGCCGUCAUUGAAAAUAAGAAUUUGUUCUUAACUGACUUGCCUUGUUAAAUAAAUUCUUAUGGCCAUAGUUCCCAGUCAUAGUUCCCAUAGUUCCCAGUCUAUUGGUGCUGAUCAGAGGAGAGUGGCGUACUGUAUUCGCAAGGGGACUCGGAGUGCUGAUCUAGAAGCAGGUCAAACAGUUGUCC